RNAcentral lists this ribosomal RNA (253 nucleotides) under uncultured bacterium. Its description in RNAcentral is "partial 16S ribosomal RNA". It matches the Rfam family "Bacterial small subunit ribosomal RNA", at positions 524 to 776 of the family's 1533-position model. The record is from RNAcentral.
UACGGGGGGUGCGAGCGUUGUCCGGAAUCACUGGGCGUAAAGGGCGCGUAGGUGGUUUGAUAAGGGUGUGGUGAAAGUCCGGGGCUCAACUCCGGAUCUGCCGUGCCGACUGUCAAACUCGAGGGCUGUAGAGGCAGACGGAAUUCCGGGUGUAGCGGUGGAAUGCGUAGAGAUCCGGAGGAAGACCGGUGGCGAAGGCGGUCUGCUGGGCAGUUUCUGACACUGAGGCGCGACAGCGUGGAGAGCAAACAGG